RNAcentral lists this ribosomal RNA (253 nucleotides) under uncultured bacterium. RNAcentral's name for it is "partial 16S ribosomal RNA". It matches the Rfam family "Bacterial small subunit ribosomal RNA", at positions 524 to 776 of the family's 1533-position model. The record is from RNAcentral.
UACGUAGGUGGCAAGCGUUGUCCGGAUUUAUUGGGCUUAAAGGGUGCGUAGGUGGCCCUGUAAGUCAGUGGUGAAAUAUCUCAGCUUAACUGAGAGGGUGCCAUUGAUACUGCAGGGCUUGAGUACAGAUGAGGUAGGCGGAAUUGACGGUGUAGCGGUGAAAUGCAUAGAUAUCGUCAAGAACACCGAUAGCGAAGGCAGCUUACCAAGCUGUAACUGACACUGAGGCACGAAAGUGUGGGGAUCAAACAGG